This 253-nucleotide ribosomal RNA is filed under the name uncultured bacterium. RNAcentral describes it as "partial 16S ribosomal RNA". It matches the Rfam family "Bacterial small subunit ribosomal RNA", at positions 524 to 776 of the family's 1533-position model. The record is from RNAcentral.
UACGUAGGAGGCAAGCGUUGUCCGGAAUUACUGGGCGUAAAGCGCGUGUAGGUGGUGGGACAAGUCUGCUGUGAAAGUGCCUGGCUUGACCGGGCGAGGUCGGCGGAAACUGUCCGACUCGAGGACGGUAGAGGGGGGUGGAAUUCCCGGUGUAGUGGUGAAAUGCGUAGAGAUCGGGAAGAACAUCGGUGGCGAAGGCGCUCUACUGGACCACAACUGACACUCAGGGACGAAAGCUAGGGGAGCGAAUGGG